Molecule: ribosomal RNA, 711 nt
Filed under: uncultured bacterium
Lineage: Bacteria
Description: bacterial SSU rRNA
Rfam family: Bacterial small subunit ribosomal RNA
Source: RNAcentral
ACAUGCAGUCGAGGGGCAGCACAAGUGUAGCAAUACUCUGGGUGGCGACCGGCGCACGGGCGAUUAUCGCGUAUGCAACCUACCUUCCACAGGGGGAUAGCCUUCCGAAAGGGAGAUUAAUACCGCAUGAAACAGGGGCCCCGCAUGGGGAUAUUUGUUAAAGAUUUAUCGGUGGAAGAUGGGCAUGCGUUCCAUUAGCUAGUUGGGGGGGUAACGGCCCACCAAGGCAACGAUGGAUAGGGGAACUGAGAGGUUUAUCCCCCACACUGGGACACUGAGACACGGCCCAGACUCCUACGGGAGGCAGCAGUGAGGAAUAUUGGUCAAUGGGCGGGAGCCUGAACCAGCCAAGUCGCGUGGAGGACGACGGUUCUAUGGAUUGUAAACUCCUUUUGCACUGGGGUAAAACGCGGGACGUGUCCCGCCUUGCAAGUACAGUGCGAAUAAGCAUCGGCUAACUCCGUGCCAGCAGCCGCGGUAAUACGGAGGAUGCGAGCGUUAUCCGGAUUUAUUGGGUUUAAAGGGUGCGUAGGCGGCCCCUUAAGUCAGCGGUAAAAUUUCUGCGCUCAACGCAGUCGUGCCGUUGAAACUGGGGGGCUUGAGUCUAGAUGAAGUGGGACCGGGAUUUGUAGUGUAGCGGUGAAAUGCUUAGAUAUUACAAAGAAACUCGAUUGCGCAAGCAGCUCACUAAGCUAUCACUGACGAAUCACU